UAGGGAAUCUUCCGCAAUGGACGCAAGUCUGACGGAGCAACGCCGCGUGAGUGAAGAAGGAUUUCGGUUCGUAAAACUCUGUUGUUAGAGAAGAACAGCGCAUAGAGUAACUGUUAUGCGUGUGACGGUAUCUAACCAGAAAGCCACGGCUAACUACGUGCCAGCAGCCGCGGUAAUACGUAGGUGGCAAGCGUUGUCCGGAUUUAUUGGGCGUAAAGCGAGCGCAGGCGGUCAAUUAAGUCUGAUGUGAAAGCCCCCGGCUCAACCGGGGAGGGUCAUUGGAAACUGGUUGACUUGAGUGCAGAAGAGGGGAGUGGAAUUCCAUGUGUAGCGGUGAAAUGCGUAGAUAUAUGGAGGAACACCAGUGGCGAAGGCGACUCUCUGAUCUGUAACUGACGCUGAGGCUCGAAAGCGUGGGUAGCAAACAGG
RNAcentral lists this ribosomal RNA (429 nucleotides) under Bacteroidota bacterium. RNAcentral's name for it is "Bacteroidetes bacterium partial 16S ribosomal RNA". It matches the Rfam family "Bacterial small subunit ribosomal RNA", at positions 355 to 776 of the family's 1533-position model. The record is from RNAcentral. Lineage: Bacteria; Pseudomonadati; Bacteroidota.